This 25-nucleotide non-coding RNA is filed under the name Cricetulus griseus (Chinese hamster). Lineage: Eukaryota; Metazoa; Chordata; Mammalia; Rodentia; Cricetidae. The record is from RNAcentral.
UAUGUGGGAAGAUGAGAAGAACAAA